GACGGCGUGGAGGGCUGGAUCUCUCUCUGGGGGAGGGCGGGAAAAAAAAUUGGGUUUUAGGUUUUAAUUUAAAAAUGAAUAAAUAAAUGAAGCUGACCUGAAAAGUAACGCCGGGGAUUUUGGGGGGCAGCAAACAGUUUUCCUAAGCAAGAGGCAGAGGCGCUGAAGCGGAGGGCUCGGAGGGGCAGGUUACCACAGAGGUUUGGGAGGGGGAUGUUUGGCCAGGGCAAGGAGGGGAGCAGGGGAGCGGGGGCACCCCCAGCCCCCCGUGCCUGCUCUCCUGAAACCCUGUCCCGAUUCCUUUCCAGGGUACGCCGCCUGGCCGGGCCGCCGGCUGCCCUGCAGCUGGGCCGAGCAGCGCGCUUCUCUCCGGACGUAACAUGCCAGGUUCUCCUCCGCCAAGUGACGCACAGGUCGGGCCCCGGCUCAGUUUUUGCAGAGCGGAGACGCUGCGUGGGAUUAUCCCCUCCGCCCCCUAAAAUAGCGAUCUUUCAGACCCGUUAGCACACUCUAAAGGAGAAAAAUCCAGAGCUGCUGGUCCUUGCUUCACCAAGAGGAACUGUUGUUGAAUGUUAGGAAACAAAAUCUAUGGAUCUGUGGAUCUGUCCCUUAGAGAUAACUACAGCUGCAAGAACUGCACUUCUGAAAGCAGCUUACAUCUGAAUGUCCAAACCAUGACCUUACCCAAAGAUCCAAGAGUGGCAGAUUUUGCAGAGCAAGGAGCAAUGGAUUCCUCUUUCCGUGUUGGCUUUGGCUGGAGGUUUUACACAAUUCCACAUCUGCAGCCUGAACCAUCGCUGCCUCUGUGCUGGCACUCCUGGGACUGCUGUGGAAUACAAGUCACUGGCAGUGCUUCAAAAACAUAGAGGUGGAAAAUGAGAAAUUUAGCUUGAUAUCCUGUCCUCUCUAUCAUCAUUCUCAUUAGAUAGCAAGAGCAUGAAGUUCCGGGAGAAUACUGCAUUUGACAGAAUGUUGCUGUUCGUGUAAGCUAUUCAUUCGCUUCAAAUACGUGUGAGUAAUAUUAUACAGAAAGGUAUUUUCUUACCCCAAAUGCUGCUUAUUCUA
This 1065-nucleotide long non-coding RNA is filed under the name Struthio camelus australis. RNAcentral describes it as "lncRNA (ENSSCUG00000014213.1)". Lineage: Eukaryota; Metazoa; Chordata; Aves; Struthioniformes; Struthionidae. The record is from RNAcentral.